Long non-coding RNA from Pomacea canaliculata, 1589 nucleotides. RefSeq lists it as uncharacterized. The transcript is spliced from 4 exons. The record is from RefSeq and is a predicted model, not a curated record. Lineage: Eukaryota; Metazoa; Mollusca; Gastropoda; Architaenioglossa; Ampullariidae.
UACCCGAGAUCAUGUCCCAUCAUGUCUUCAUCUCGGUCAUAUCGCGCGUACACACAACCAGUCAAAUAUAGAUAUACAUCAUCUGGCUGUAUGGUUUGCGCCAUGAUGUACGAAAUUAAAGUUUGAAAAAAAAAAAGACAAAGUUUUCUAUGAAACCUAAGUGUUAUAAGCUGCUAACAGCGAAACAAAUUCGGAGACUGAAAAUCUGUUUGAAUGUAAAAACAAAAUAUUGUAAAAGACUUACCUGACGGUUUGCUCAUGAUUAGCUUUGAAUACACGCAGAAUAAUAUCAGUUGUACGAUCGCAGGAGUGUUUACGUCUGACGGCCGAGGAUUCCAGGAAUACGCGCAUGCGCAAAGGAGGCAACCGUGGGCUGAACUUUCUUGUUGUGUCCUAGGCCACCGAGGCAAGACCGGUUAGACAGCUUUUUGAGAGCGAUCGAGGUCAGAUGUGGCGUAGAGUUCGCGACCACACAUACAAUCAAAAUAGUAUGUAGCAAGCUCCAUCGACGUUCAUGACAACUGCAAGAACUCUUCUUGGAUCACUGGGACCUGGUAUACAGAUGCUACAUAUUAUCUCCAACUUUCGUCGGUGGGAAUUUUGCAUGUGAAUUUUUAUACAUCUUCGCACCUUGAGCUUGCAAACUAACUUGAGCUGCUGACCUGCAAAUUGAAGAUUGAAGGACAGAAUGCUUGUGGCUUUAAGAGGAAAGAGCAAUGAGAAAAAUGAUGACGCCAACUGGCACGGUUCGAACCCCGAGCUACCUUUAUCAAUCGAGGACAAGUAGUUGCCCUGGGGAUAUAGGACUUCACCUGAUGAAACAGAAACGAAAUAAUGAAGUGUGGAGGCCAAACGAUCUACGAAGUCUGAAUUCCCUCAAACACCACUCGUUAGAUUCGUCUCAAAAUAUGGUGAGAUAGAAAACAAACAAUAUAAUAACGAUCACUCUUUAUGUGGUAUAGAAACAGCUGAUACUGAGUUUGUUUAUCUAGUGGAUAUGUCGAGUGUUUUGUUUUUUUUCCACAGAUCCGCCUGACUAGACACACUUUACACAAAACACUGAUAUUGAGUGUGCAAGCUUCUGAGCUCAGGUUGUAGGGUUAGACUUGUAGGGUUAGAGGUCAUCCCUAUAACUCAUAAAUAUGUCGCCUGUAUCUUUUGAAAGUGUCUGAGGUAGUGGUGUUCACAUUCUGUGUUCUUAUUAUGAGACGAGUUCAAAAUAACAAUAUAGAUGAUGUAAAAAAAGUGUCCAUUCUCCUCUGUGGCCGAAAGGUCUGGAUGGUCCUGCUGUUAGAAACAGUUGCAGACCUCGGAGAUUCGAUACCUAGAGGUUCCAGUCGUGUGUAUGGUCCACAGUUGUGGCUACAGUGGGGUUGUUAGUAUAGAAGGUUUGUAAGGGCUGUAGUCCAGGGUACUGAUGUGCCUUUGCUUCAUGGAUAAGGCCCCAUGUUUUAUAAAACGUACCCCAAAUAACAAGUUUACAAACACUCGGCCUGAAUAAACAAGUUUACAAACACGUGACCAGACCAGUGAUCGCGGUGUACGUGUGAUGAUAGCCAAAGGUCUUUAGCUCCAGGGAUGUACUUAGU